CCUACGGGAGGCAGCAGUGGGGAAUAUUGGACAAUGGGCGAAAGCCUGAUCCAGCCAUGCCGCGUGUGUGAAGAAGGCCUUCGGGUUGUAAAGCACUUUCAGUGGGGAAGAAAGCCUUGGGGCUAAUACCCUCGAGGAAGGACAUCACCCACAGAAGAAGCACCGGCUAACUCCGUGCCAGCAGCCGCGGUAAUACGGAGGGUGCGAGCGUUAAUCGGAAUUACUGGGCGUAAAGCGCGCGUAGGCGGUCUGAUAAGCCGGUUGUGAAAGCCCCGGGCUCAACCUGGGAACGGCAUCCGGAACUGUCAGGAUAGAGUGCAGGAGAGGAAGGUAGAAUUCCCGGUGUAGCGGUGAAAUGCGUAGAGAUCGGGAGGAAUACCAGUGGCGAAGGCGGCCUUCUGGACUGACACUGACGCUGAGGUGCGAAAGCGUGGGUAGCAAACAGGAUUAGAUACCCGGGUAGUC
RNAcentral lists this ribosomal RNA (465 nucleotides) under Vreelandella stevensii. RNAcentral describes it as "partial 16S ribosomal RNA". It matches the Rfam family "Bacterial small subunit ribosomal RNA", at positions 338 to 795 of the family's 1533-position model. The record is from RNAcentral. Lineage: Bacteria; Pseudomonadati; Pseudomonadota; Gammaproteobacteria; Oceanospirillales; Halomonadaceae.